RNAcentral lists this ribosomal RNA (355 nucleotides) under Busseola sp. BUTAG4364. RNAcentral describes it as "partial 12S small subunit ribosomal RNA". The record is from RNAcentral. RNAcentral also lists the same sequence under 1 other name. Lineage: Eukaryota; Metazoa; Arthropoda; Insecta; Lepidoptera; Noctuidae.
AAAAAAUAAAAUUAAAAUACUAAAAUAGUAUUUAAAUAAAUAUUUAUUGAAACUUAAAUAAUUUGGCGGUAUUUUAGUUCAUUUAGAGGAAUCUGUUUAAUAAUUGAUAUUCCACGAAUAAAUUUACUUAAUUUAUAAUUUUGUAUAUCGUUGUUAUAAAAAUAUUUUUUAAUGAGAUUAAUAUUUAAAAUUUAAUAUUUAAAUUUAAAUCAGAUCAAGAUGCAGAUUAUAAUUAAGAAUAUAAUGGAUUACAAUAAAUUUAUUUAAAUGAAUUUUAAUUUGUAAAAAUUAAUUGAAAGUGGAUUUAAAUGUAAUUUUAUUUAAUUUAAUAAAAUGAUUAAAAAUUAAAAUAUGU